Molecule: non-coding RNA, 213 nt
Organism: Pelobates cultripes (western spadefoot toad)
Lineage: Eukaryota; Metazoa; Chordata; Amphibia; Anura; Pelobatidae
Source: the annotation of a GenBank genome assembly
UCUGUCUUCACCACCCCCAUGCCCAUGUUUGCUAUCAGCUUGUGGGCAUAAGGCAGGAGCUGCUCAUCUGUCACUGAUUUGGGGAUCCCCCUGAGACGGAGGUUUUUUUCGCCGGUGCCUUGCCUCAAUUGUGGUCACCAAGCGUCUCAGUUGUUGCACUUGAGAGGUAAGUUGUUCUCGGUGGGUGUCCAUGGUUUUCUCUGACAGACUCAC